ACGGUCCUAAGGUAGCGAAAUUCCUUGUCAGGUAAGUUCUGACCCGCACGAAAGGCGUAACGAUUUGGGCGCUGUCUCAGCUGUAGACUCGGUGAAGUCUUAGUACCUGUGAAGAUGCAGGUUACCCGCGACUAGACGGAAAGACCCCAUGGAGCUUCACUGCAGGUUGAUAUUGGGAUUUGAUGCAGCAUGUACAGGAUAGGUAGGAGGCAAAGAGAUGGAUACGCCAGUAUUCAAGGAGCCGCUGUUGGGAUACUACCCCUGUUGUAUUGGAUUUCUAACCGGACGACGUAGAGCCGUUGACGGGACAGUGUCAGUCGGGCAGUUUGACUGGGGCGGUCGCCUCCCAAAGAGUAACGGAGGCGCCCAAAGAUACCCUCAGCUUGGAUGGAAACCAAGCGCAGAGUGCAAAGGCAAAAGGGUGUUUGACUGCGAGACCUACAAGUCGAGCAGGGACGAAAGUCGGGCUUAGUGAUCCGGCGGUGCUGAAUGGAAAGGCCGUCGCUCAACGGAUAAAAGCUACCCUGGGGAUAACAGGCUGAUCUCCCCCAAGAGUCCACAUCGACGGGGAGGUUUGGCACCUCGAUGUCGGCUCAUCGCAUCCUGGGGCUGUAUUCGGUCCCAAGGGUUUGGCUGUUCGCCAAUUAAAGCGGUACGCGAGCUGGGUUCAGAACGUCGUGAGACAGUUCGGUCCCUAUCUGUCGUGGGCGCAGGAAAUUUGAGAAGAGCUGUCCUCAGUACGAGAGGACCGGGAUGGACGCAUCAAUGGUGGACCAGUUGUCACGCCAGUGGCAUAGCUGGGUAGCUAAAUGCGGAAGGGAUAAACGCUGAAGGCAUCUAAGUGUGAAACCCACUUCAAGAUGAGAUUUCCCAUUGCGCAAGCAAGUAAGACCCCUUAAAGACGAUAAGGUAGAUAGGUCAGGAGUGUAAGCAUGGUGACAUGUUAAGCGGACUGAUACUAAUAGGUCGAGGGCUUGACCGA
Molecule: ribosomal RNA, 982 nt
Filed under: human gut metagenome
Description: bacterial LSU rRNA
Rfam family: Bacterial large subunit ribosomal RNA
Source: RNAcentral